This 248-nucleotide unclassified non-coding RNA is filed under the name Glomus sp. RNAcentral's name for it is "partial contains 5.8S ribosomal RNA and internal transcribed spacer 2". The stretch from base 1 to 71 matches the Rfam family "5.8S ribosomal RNA", at positions 84 to 154 of the family's 154-position model. Lineage: Eukaryota; Fungi; Glomeromycota; Glomeromycetes; Glomerales; Glomeraceae. The record is from RNAcentral.
GUGAAUCAUCAAAUUUUUGAACGCAAAUUGCACUCUCUGGUAUUCCGGAGAGUAUGCCUGUUUGAGGGUCAGUUAAAAUAUAAAUCGGUGUGGUUUCUGCGUUGCGUGUUGACGCGCCGGAUGUGGGUUGUCUUGCCUUCGGUUAAGUGACCUAACAUUUUGCAUGAGUGUUUCGAACGUGCUUAAAUGUUGUUACGUACGUUUGCGAUAUCGAAUACUAGGUGUGGUUAUCCUCAUGAGUCGCGCCU